Molecule: ribosomal RNA, 253 nt
Filed under: uncultured bacterium
Lineage: Bacteria
Description: partial 16S ribosomal RNA
Rfam family: Bacterial small subunit ribosomal RNA
Source: RNAcentral
GACGUAGGGCGCGAGCGUUGUCCGGAUUUAUUGGGCGUAAAGAGCUCGUAGGCGGCUUGUCGCGUCGACUGUGAAAACCCGCAGCUCAACUGUGGGCUUGCAGCCGAUACGGGCAGGCUAGAGUUCGGUAGGGGAGACUGGAAUUUACGGUGUAGCAGUGAAAUGCGUAGAUAUCGUAAGGAAGACCAGUGGCGAAGGCGAGUCUCUGGACAGUUACCGACGCUGAGGCACGAAGGCCAGGGGAGCAAACGGG